Long non-coding RNA from Stegostoma tigrinum, 364 nucleotides. RefSeq lists it as uncharacterized. NCBI's taxonomy places the organism in Eukaryota, Metazoa, Chordata, Chondrichthyes, Orectolobiformes, Stegostomatidae. The record is from RefSeq and is a predicted model, not a curated record. The transcript is spliced from 5 exons.
GGGAAUUAGGUGAAAAUGACAUCACUUCAGUACAAGAAACUAAUUGGUUACCCUACAGAUGGACAGAAACCUUAGAUCUACAUGGAAAUCAACUUGACACACUACAGAAGGAUUCAUUUGAAGGGCUCAUCUUAGUAAAGAAAUUGAAUCUUUCCGGAAAUGUCAUCACAAAAAUUGCAGGCUAUACAUUUCAGGCUUUACCUUUCCUGGAAAUUCUCGAUCUUUCUGACAAUAAGGUAUCAACGCUGCUGGAUGGAACAUUCAAAUCCUGGCAUGGAUUACGUUUCUUUAGACAAUUGAAUUUAAAAUCCAACCCACUAGAAGUAAUACAGAAUGAUGCAUUUGAUAAAUUGCCCUCAAUGCA